Molecule: ribosomal RNA, 253 nt
Filed under: uncultured bacterium
Lineage: Bacteria
Description: partial 16S ribosomal RNA
Rfam family: Bacterial small subunit ribosomal RNA
Source: RNAcentral
UACGUAGGGGGCUAGCGUUGUCCGGAAUCAUUGGGCGUAAAGCGCGUGUAGGCGGUCCGGUAAGUCCGCUGUGAAAGUCGGGGGCUCAACCCUCGAAAGCCGGUGGAAACUGUCGGGCUAGAGUGCGGAAGAGGCGAGUGGAAUUCCUGGUGUAGCGGUGAAAUGCGCAGAUAUCAGGAGGAACACCAGUGGCGAAGGCGACUACCUGGCCCAUUCUUGACGCUGAGGCGCGAAAGCUAGGGGAGCGAACGGG